UGUAGCUAACUCACAUUAUCUCUAUAUAGAUUAUGAGUCAUCUCGUUCUUAUGAAAGCAACUAUCUGCGAUAUGGGACAAAAUUUCAGCUUGGUACGAGAAACGUUCUCAAAACUAACUUCUUGUUUGAGUGGAUGACUGGAAACAUUGAAGGAACCUUGAGAACAUAUAACGCAGAUUAGCGUAAUACUUGGGAAUCUAUCAAGCUGGAAUACAAACAUUUUCACAGUAGUUCAUGGAAUAAAGUGUCGAUCAAGCUUGCGAUUCCAGACUAGAUGAGCGGCGAAUAACCAACGAUAGCAAACACAAGGGGUGGUGAUUGGAGAUCGUAGAGAUGCUACGGUAAAGUUCGACUUAUCAAAUAAGAUCAAAGCCUACACAAGGUCGUCAAAAGAGUUAUACACAUGUGGAGCUAGAUAUAUAAUUCUAAUUACCACAAAGAUUCGACCGAAACGGAGGAGAAGAAACACAUUCUCUUGAAGAAUGUGACACGGAUAACUAGGGAGAGAUUUAAAGAUUCGAACGAUAUCAGACCCUUAUUAAUCCCUUUCAUUCCUCUCAUCAGACCAUUUGUAGCACUCCUAGCUACAACCCUAACUCGAUUGUUUCCCCAUAAUUGAUGUACCUCACAGGUCCCAUUAAUUGGUUGACGAACCGUAUCUCGGCCUUCAACUUCUAGAACAUUAUAAAUAUUCAGCAUGUUGCUCAACAGUAAUGCUACAUCGAGUAUGAGACCGAUGAAUUGGAUAAUAUUUCUAAUGAAGUCGCGGAUAUUAAGGUUUCACGAGCAGUAGUUCCUAGUACUACCUCAGAUUUGAAUUGAAUAAGUAAUUUCGAAUUCAUUACGAUAAUAGUUUGACUCGUUAUCCAAGUCAAUUCUAAGAUUGGGAAGAUACUGAUUGUCAUGGAAAUAAUUCGUAGAGGUUUGAAGGACUAAGUUAACACUAUUUCGAUCAAUCUCAGAUAUUCUUCCUUGAAGAAACCGUAGCUUGGGAAUAACUUAUCAUAUAAAUAGGGAUUGAUCCCUAUUUCGGAACCAACCUCCUAGAGACUACCCGCAUAAGUGUAUUCCUCUUGAUAACGAAUUCCUUGAUCAAGACUUGAAGGUAUUAUGGAGAAACCACCAAGUUGAAGAAGCGACGGAUGAGCAAGAAGAUAAUUUUAGGAAAUUGUAUUUCCAUGUUCGAAUAAUAGUUGAGAAUCUGGGGACCAGAUUCUUUUAAGGAGGGCAGAGUGUAACACCCCGUAAAUAUGUAAGUUGUUUAAGUCUGGGGAUAAUUGAAUUUAUUUAGUUGAUAUGUGUCGAUAUGGAAUUAUAAUAUAUCUCGAAUUUGAUGGGAAGUGUAGAAUUGUAAUUAUCUAAACUUAUGGCAUCUAUUUGGUAAUUAAGAAAACUAUUUGGCCCUAUAAGCUAAUUUUAGAAUUUACAAGUGAGAUAAGAACCAACGUGUACUUCGUCUAUUCUAAUUCCUUCUUUGGCCGCCACGUUUCUUCUUCUUCUCUCACCUUCUCACCGUUUCUCUCUCUCUCUCUCUCUCUCUUCUAUAUUGAUUCUUGGCUGAAAUCCCCAAUUCAUAUUAUCAGCAUAAUCGGGGCUGCGUGGAUGCCUUAGCAAAGGGUAUUAAUGAUCAGCUCAUAUCAUUAGAAAUAUUGGGAAGUCAGAUUUAUAGUGGUGGUGGUCUCCAGCAGCAGUCGCCGGCGGUGGUGGCUGGAAUCCGACAAAGAAGACGAGCUGUCCAGAAUUUCAAUUUCAUAGUUUUGCCUUUUCCGUAAAUCAAUUAAACGGAGGUCUUAAAGAUGGAGCAUCGAUGAUCCGAAGGUACCGUUCGAAACCUUAAUAAGUUAGAUUUCCAGUGGUGGUGGUUCUUGAUUGUCUACAUCAGCGGUGGUCAUCGGAAUUGGCUAGAACUUCAGCUCGCUCGUUGAAACGAAGGGAAGCAAAAUCUGCUGCCGCACCUGUUUUCGGAGCCGAAAUCGAAGGGUUUCGAAUGCGAAUUUGGAAUCGGUUCCUUCAGGAAACUCGUAGAGGACAUCGUAAACUAUAAGUGUUGAGCAUAGUAAAGCUCUCACUCAAGGUUUAAGCUUAAUGAUGCUUCUAUAGCACUAGCGUUGGACUCCAGGUAAAAGAAAGACUUAGACCUAAAUUUUUAUACCAAGUGCUAAAGCUCGUGUAUGCCUCCGAUUAGUCUCGUCGAGAGGUAUCUCUAAUUAUGUUCCGUAUAGGAAUCCUUUGAUCGAGAAUUUUGUAAUAGAGUAAGUGGUGUCGAAGUCGACUUGUAAUAGAACCUCCUUUUGUAAACACGAUGGUAUAGAUAUUGGGGGUUUAAUGUUUUGAUCAUCGAAA
Molecule: non-coding RNA, 2343 nt
Organism: Erythranthe guttata (spotted monkey flower)
Lineage: Eukaryota; Viridiplantae; Streptophyta; Magnoliopsida; Lamiales; Phrymaceae
Source: RefSeq, a predicted model, not a curated record